This 380-nucleotide ribosomal RNA is filed under the name uncultured bacterium. RNAcentral describes it as "bacterial SSU rRNA". It matches the Rfam family "Bacterial small subunit ribosomal RNA", at positions 29 to 412 of the family's 1533-position model. The record is from RNAcentral.
AUUGAACGCUGGCGGCAUGCCUUACACAUGCAAGUCGAACGGCAGCACGGGAGCAAUCCUGGUGGCGAGUGGCGAACGGGUGAGUAAUACAUCGGAACGUGCCCAGUAGUGGGGGAUAACCCGGCGAAAGCCGGACUAAUACCGCAUACGACCUACGGGUGAAAGCAGGGGAUCGCAAGACCUUGCGCUAUCGGAGCGGCCGAUGUCAGAUUAGCUUGUUGGCGGGGUAAAGCCCACCAAGGCGACGAUCUGUAGCUGGUCUGAGAGGACGACCAGCCACACUGGGACUGAGACACGGCCCAGACUCCUACGGGAGGCAGCAGUGGGGAAUUUGGACAAUGGGCGCAAGCCUGAUCCAGCCAUGCCGCGUGCGGGAAGAA